AACGCUAGCUACAGGCUUAACACAUGCAAGUCGAGGGGCAGCAUGAACUUAGCUUGCUAAGUUUGAUGGCGACCGGCGCACGGGUGAGUAACACGUAUCCAACCUGCCGAUGACUCGGGGAUAGCCUUUCGAAAGAAAGAUUAAUACCCGAUGGCAUAGUUCUUCCGCAUGGUAGAACUAUUAAAGAAUUUCGGUCAUCGAUGGGGAUGCGUUCCAUUAGGUUGUUGGCGGGGUAACGGCCCACCAAGCCUUCGAUGGAUAGGGGUUCUGAGAGGAAGGUCCCCCACAUUGGAACUGAGACACGGUCCAAACUCCUACGGGAGGCAGCAGUGAGGAAUAUUGGUCAAUGGACGAGAGUCUGAACCAGCCAAGUAGCGUGAAGGAAGACGGCCCUAUGGGUUGUAAACUGCUUUUAUAAGGGAAUAAAGUGAGUCUCGUGAGACUUUUUGCAUGUACCUUAUGAAUAAGGACCGGCUAAUUCCGUGCCAGCAGCCGCGGUAAUACGGAAGGUCCGGGCGUUAUCCGGAUUUAUUGGGUUUAAAGGGAGCGUAGGCCGGAGAUUAAGCGUGUUGUGAAAUGUAGACGCUCAACGUCUGCACUGCAGCGCGAACUGGUUUCCUUGAGUACGCACAAAGUGGGCGGAAUUCGUGGUGUAGCGGUGAAAUGCUUAGAUAUCACGAAGAACUCCGAUUG
RNAcentral lists this ribosomal RNA (693 nucleotides) under uncultured bacterium. Its description in RNAcentral is "bacterial SSU rRNA". It matches the Rfam family "Bacterial small subunit ribosomal RNA", at positions 32 to 715 of the family's 1533-position model. The record is from RNAcentral.